GACGAACGCUGGCGGCGUGCUUAACACAUGCAAGUCGAACGGAAAGGCCCUGCUUUUGUGGGGUGCUCGAGUGGCGAACGGGUGAGUAACACGUGAGUAACCUGCCCUUGACUUUGGGAUAACUUCAGGAAACUGGGGCUAAUACCGGAUAGGAGCUCCUGCUGCAUGGUGGGGGUUGGAAAGUUUCGGCGGUUGGGGAUGGACUCGCGGCUUAUCAGCUUGUUGGUGGGGUAGUGGCUUACCAAGGCUUUGACGGGUAGCCGGCCUGAGAGGGGGACCGGCCACAUUGGGACUGAGAUACGGCGCAGACGCCUACGGGAGGCAGCAGUGGGGAGUAUUGCACAAUGGGCGGGAGCCUGAUGCAGCAACGCCGCGUGCGGGAUGACGGCCUUCGGGUUGUAAACCGCUUUCGCCUGUGACGAAGCGUGAGUGACGGUAAUGGGUAAAGAAGCACCGGCUAACUACGUG
Molecule: ribosomal RNA, 468 nt
Filed under: uncultured bacterium
Lineage: Bacteria
Description: partial 16S ribosomal RNA
Rfam family: Bacterial small subunit ribosomal RNA
Source: RNAcentral